UACGAAGGGGGCUAGCGUUGUUCGGAAUUACUGGGCGUAAAGGGCGCGUAGGCGGUGUGUCAAGUCAGGCGUGAAAGCCCCGGGCUCAACCUGGGAACAGCGCUUGAGACUGGCACGCUCGAGUUCGGGAGAGGAUGGUGGAAUUCCCAGUGUAGAGGUGAAAUUCGUAGAUAUUGGGAAGAACACCGAUGGCGAAGGCAGCCAUCUGGACCGACACUGACGCUGAGGCGCGAAAGCCAGGGGAGCAAACGGG
This 253-nucleotide ribosomal RNA is filed under the name uncultured bacterium. Its description in RNAcentral is "partial 16S ribosomal RNA". It matches the Rfam family "Bacterial small subunit ribosomal RNA", at positions 524 to 776 of the family's 1533-position model. The record is from RNAcentral.